Molecule: ribosomal RNA, 491 nt
Filed under: uncultured bacterium
Lineage: Bacteria
Description: partial 16S ribosomal RNA
Rfam family: Bacterial small subunit ribosomal RNA
Source: RNAcentral
AGUGAACGCUGGCGGUAGGCCUAACACAUGCAAGUCGAACGGCAGCACAGUAAGAGCUUGCUCUUACGGGUGGCGAGUGGCGGACGGGUGAGGAAUACAUCGGAAUCUACUUUUUCGUGGGGGAUAACGUAGGGAAACUUACGCUAAUACCGCAUACGACCUACGGGUGAAAGCAGGGGAUCUUCGGACCUUGCGCGAUUGAAUGAGCCGAUGUCGGAUUAGCUAGUUGGCGGGGUAAAGGCCCCCCAAGGCGACGAUCCGUAGCUGGCCUGAGAGGAUGUGCACCACACCGGAACCUAAGAAAGGUUCCGAAUCCCAAGGGAGGGAGGAAUGGGGAAAAUUUGAACAUGGGCGCAAGCCUGAUCCAGCCAUACCGCGUGGGUGAAGAAGGCCUUCGGGUUGUAAAGCCCUUUUGUUGGGAAAGAAAAGCAGCAGGUUAAUACCCCGCUGUUCUGACGGUACCCAAAGAAUAAGCACCGGCUAACUUCGUG